Molecule: long non-coding RNA, 983 nt
Organism: Podarcis raffonei (Aeolian wall lizard)
Lineage: Eukaryota; Metazoa; Chordata; Lepidosauria; Squamata; Lacertidae
Exons: 3
Source: RefSeq, a predicted model, not a curated record
ACAUUCUGAAUAUCGUUUUUUCUUCUUUCUGCCGAAGAUCAUUUGGAUGAACUUGAACUGAGCUUGCUUGUUUUGCAGAGGGAUGAAGAUGAACAGAAAUUAGUUCCUGUUUGGACAUGCCACACCUGAACCAGAACUACUUGCUUUUCAAAAAAUUACCUUUCCAAGUUCUGGACAUCUAGAGUAUGAGUAUACAUGGAGAGUUAGAAGGGGAAGAAAAAAUGGAUUUGAGCAGAAUCAGAAUUGUAGAGUUGGAAAGGAGCCCCAAGUUUCAUCUAGUCCAGCCUCCUGCAAUGCAGAAAUCUCAACUAAAGCAUCCCUGACAGAUGGCCAUCCAACCUCUGCUUAAAAACCUCCAAGGAAGGAGAAUCCACCAGCCCCCAAGAUUUAGAAGAAACAAGGAGACAUUUGUUCAAUCUCUUCGCCCAGCUGUGAGUCGUAAAGAGCCUCUCCCUGCAAGGCCCUUUCCAUCUGGCUUAGCGAGUGGGGCUCAGACUCACCAGCUCUACUAAAGAGGCUCCUGUGAGACCAGAGGGACAUCACUAUGCCUGACAACAACUAUUGGAUUCUUUUGCCCCAUCUUUUUGUGCCUGCCUAACAGCCGUGUCAUGCUUAUAAUAUUUUAUUCUCUUGUUAAUUAUGCUGUUUUAAAUGUGCAUUUUAUAUUUGACUUUCCUUAGCAAUGCUUUCUUUUGAAAUGUUUAAGUUUUUUUUUGUUAACUUUGUUUGUGUUAAAUAUGUAUUCUGUAGUUGACCUCCUUUGUAGUUUUAUUUUGAAAGCUUCAAGAUAUUUUAGUUUUCUGUUAAUUAUGUUGCUUUGACUGUAUACUCUAACUUUUACUUUCCUCAGAUUGUUUUAUUGAUGUUUUAAUAUUCUGUAAACCGCUUUGAGUUUUUUCUUAAAAAUAUUAAGUGGUAUAGAAAUGAAACAAACAAACAAACAAACAAACAAACAAACAGGCUUUUAUAAAGCCAGUACAUGC